Molecule: long non-coding RNA, 363 nt
Organism: Saccostrea cuccullata (small rock oyster)
Lineage: Eukaryota; Metazoa; Mollusca; Bivalvia; Ostreida; Ostreidae
Exons: 3
Source: RefSeq, a predicted model, not a curated record
UAUGCAGUGAAUUUAAAUGCAAUAAUCAGCCAUUCUUUAAAGAAAAUAGGGAUAAGAUAAGAGACAAGGCAUCGUUAAUCCCUAUUACGAGAAUAUGAGGACAUAAUUACAGAAAAUAAUGGAAGAGUGAGACGAUCUGCACCAGCUUCCUAGAUCCAUCACUGCAAUGCAUUCAGCCCAGCAGUCAAGAGAUCCAGGCUUGAAGUAUAAAUGAAUACAAAAUGCAUCCAUUUCUCCACAGGCUAUUCCUAAAGAAUUGGACCAAUGGAAUCAUUCAUGAUCAGGCAGCAAGUUAAUCCAUCAUGUAAGGAAAAUGGUAUGCUCCAUAUUAGCUAUAAACCAAAUUACCAUGCAAUAUUCCUG